This is an RNA transcript of Nomascus leucogenys (northern white-cheeked gibbon), 2293 nucleotides long. RefSeq lists it as uncharacterized. The transcript has a single exon. The record is from RefSeq and is a predicted model, not a curated record. NCBI's taxonomy places the organism in Eukaryota, Metazoa, Chordata, Mammalia, Primates, Hylobatidae.
AUGGAUGGAUAGAUGGAUGGAUGGGUUGGGGGGUGGGGGUGGGUGGAUGGAUGGAUGGAUGGAUGGACGGAUGGGGUGGGGAAGGAAGGAAAGGAGGGGGAAAGGAGGGAAUACUGGCUCCAUCUUUGAGAGCUCUGGUGGGCAGGGCAGAAACAGGCCACAGUGCUCAACCCAGACACCCUCACGAAGGGUCGCGAAUCACUCUUGUGGCUCAGAUUGCACUUAGGACCUGGAGGGACAGACCAGAAUCAGGGUCCCCUCCUUCACCCCCGAGUUCCUUACUGUUCCCCCAAGCCUGGAAGCGGUCUAUCCCCCAACCCUGCCAUCUCCCUUACUCAUCCCUCUUUCACACCUUCCCCUUUCUAGCCCCCUCUGCCCUACCUGUCUUUCCUGAGUGUUUGAGGGGAGAGAGAGACCCACAUCUCCCCAAAGAGAUGAGCUUUUGGAGCACAACAUCCCACCAUAGGCCCCCUCACCUGACAACAACUACCUGGCCCCUUGCCAAAUCUCAAGCAGAAUUAGCAACAGGAAAAGCAAAGCCCCAGGAGAGACACUCUACUAUAUAUACUCUUCUAUAUAUUCUGUUUCUAUUGUAUAUUCACUCUGUACAUGUGGGUGUAAAUGCUGUUAAAUGACAAACCCAAUAUUAUACUGUGGCUGGUGGACUCUUUUCAUCCUCAGUGCUGUACAGAUCUAUUUUCAUUGUAUAUUUGAUAUAUUUUUAAUUUUGUAGCGUGUGGCUGGGCCAGGCCCCAGCGGGAGGGGCUGAGCUGGGGCUGUGUGCUUGCUAGGUGUGGGCGCGCUAGUGCUCGUUGUAGCCUUUUGCUGUGUCUUCGCUGUGUGUUAGACGUAGGGCCUAGAGCUCGGGGUGUGUGUGUGUGCUGUGUGUAUGGUGUGCACAUACGUGAGUGUGGGUGUGUGUAGCGUGCUGAUCUGUGACUCCCAGUGUUCACCACUUUCCUGAAGACCACACUCCCUCCCCCUGCCUCCUCCUCCUCGUCUUGGCUCUAUCGGGAGCCUCAGGGCCGGCAGGGUGCCUCAGGAGCCCCCUGCUAUGGGGAAAGGCAUGUGUUUCUUGCUGGUGACUCAUUGCCUUCACACCACUGGGUUUGCCAGAAACAGGGAAGGAGGGCGUUAAGGGAAAAAAAAAUCCUCAAAUUUAUUUACCAGUCAGCUUCUUGCCGUUACCAAUAAAAUUGCUAGCUCUUCUCCAGAGGAAAAGUACUAGGAUUCUUAAGAUGGCGCGACCCCAAGAAGGAGCUCAUAGCACUGCUGCAUUUGCCGUUGAGGCAGUCCUGACAGUGUUUGAAAAGGGCCGCCUGCCCCCUCCCCACUGUGCCUCUGACGCCUUUGGAGUCAAAGGCAGGUGGGGUCACCUGAUGAGCUAAGAUCCAGCCCCAGAAUCCUGGAGAAGCAGGAGGCAGCAGGAGAGGACCAGGUCCCCAAGUCCCUUCACAGGGUCCCCACCCCCACUGGCUUUGGUGCUGUCCACACAGUGCCCACCAGAAGGCAGAGGGAACUCCAGGGCAGGGAUGUGCCUGAAAGAGUCAACAGUCCCCUGAUCCCCUACCUGUGCCUGCCCUCCAGCCCCAUCACCAGCUUCUUGCUCAGGGAGCCUUCCGCCCUCCUCACUGAGGCAACAUGAAGCCAGAGGCCCAGAUGGGGGCUGAACAGGUAGGGCACAUCAGUUAAUGCCAGUGAGGUUGGCUUCUGCCCUCCAGCAAUACAUGUGCAGGGGUUGCUGCUUUCCCAGUGCCAGGAGAACCCCCACUCCGAGUCAGCCUGUGUGGGUCAUGAGGCUGGGGCCCAGGAGCCAUGGUCCCAGGCACUGCACAGGCCUGCAGUAUUACCAGGCAGAGGGGCUGCUUUUCUGCCCUUCCUCACCCCCACCCCCCACCCCACUCCCCCAGAGUACUCCCCACUGUGAAAAGAGCUGGAAACUAAACCGGUUAGAAUGAACCUGGCUCCCUGAGCAUCCCUGGAUCCUUUAAAUAGGCCCAGAGAUGUGAGAUCUGCUGCUUCACUGGGGCCUGAUGACUUCGGCUGGGGGAGGGGGCCUAGUGCCCCUUCUCAUUGAAAGCUCUGCUUUGUACAGACCCAAGCAUACACACCAGGCCGUCACUUUGGGUUCUGGCAUAAGUUCAGAACAAUUCAAGUCCAUGUGUCCCAUGGCUGGCCAGAGCCCUGGGUCAAAAUCACUCAGCCCAGGGGAGGGGAUGAGGCAUUGUCACCCUAGACCCCUCUUCCUCUCUCCCCCACCAUGGUGUGCAAUAAAGUGUCUGUUCUUACCAAA